GCGGAAGUGGCGGAACGGCAGACGCGCUGGUUUUAGGCACCAGUUCCAUCGGAGUGAGGGUUCAAGUCCCUUCUUCCGCA
Molecule: transfer RNA, 80 nt
Filed under: Faecalibacterium prausnitzii
Lineage: Bacteria; Bacillati; Bacillota; Clostridia; Eubacteriales; Oscillospiraceae
Also listed under: 2 other names
Description: tRNA-Leu
Rfam family: tRNA
About the family: Transfer RNA (tRNA) molecules are approximately 80 nucleotides in length. Their secondary structure includes four short double-helical elements and three loops (D, anti-codon, and T loops). Further hydrogen bonds mediate the characteristic L-shaped molecular structure. tRNAs have two regions of fundamental functional importance: the anti-codon, which is responsible for specific mRNA codon recognition, and the 3' end, to which the tRNAs corresponding amino acid is attached (by aminoacyl-tRNA synthetases). tRNAs cope with the degeneracy of the genetic code in two manners: having more than one tRNA (with a specific anti-codon) for a particular amino acid; and 'wobble' base-pairing, i.e. permitting non-standard base-pairing at the 3rd anti-codon position.
Source: RNAcentral